This 323-nucleotide long non-coding RNA is filed under the name Capsicum annuum. RNAcentral's name for it is "long non-coding RNA (CANN_LNC016710)". Lineage: Eukaryota; Viridiplantae; Streptophyta; Magnoliopsida; Solanales; Solanaceae. The record is from RNAcentral.
UUGAAUUUUACGGUCAGAAUUCCAUGUUGGAGAGAAUUUACCCCUCUAUAAUUCUCAUUUGAAACUCUUCAUGGGGAAGCUCCGCUCAUAAUGGUCGAGACCAUUUGUGAUUUUUAAUGAUUACGCAAGUGGUGUCGUUGAAUUGGAAGAUAAUGAUGGGAAGAAAUUUAUAGUCAGUGCUCAAUGGAUGAAUCACUACAAUGAGAAAAUCCCCAUGGUGACCAAGGUGGAGUGUGUUAAAUUCAAAGAUGCUUUGUGGUGAAAGGGGACAGUCGUGCCACAACGUUAGAUUAGGUGCUUAAUGGGAGGCAACUCAUCUUUGA